AGCGAACGCUGGCGGCAGGCCUAACACAUGCAAGUCGAACGAACCUUUCGGGGUUAGUGGCGGACGUGUGAGUAACACGUGGGAACGUGCCUUUAGGUUCGGUAUAACUCAGGGAAACUUGUGCUAAUACCGCAUGUGCCCUUCGGGGGAAAGAUUAAUCGCCUGUUGAGCGGCCCGCGUCUGAUUCGCUAGUUGGUUGAGGUAAUGGCUCACCACGGCGACGAUCAGUAGCUGGUCUGAGAGGAUGAUCAGCCACAUUGGGACUGAGACACGGCCCAAACUCCUACGGGAGGCAGCAGUGGGGAAUCUUGCGCAAUGGGCGAAAGCCUGACGAAGCCAUGCCGCGUGAAUGAUGAAGGUCUUAGGAUUGUAAAAUUCUUUCACCGGGGACGAUAAUGACGGUACCCGGAGAAGAAGCCCCGGCUAACUUCGUG
RNAcentral lists this ribosomal RNA (434 nucleotides) under uncultured bacterium. RNAcentral describes it as "partial 16S ribosomal RNA". It matches the Rfam family "Bacterial small subunit ribosomal RNA", at positions 29 to 507 of the family's 1533-position model. The record is from RNAcentral.